GAUGAACGCUGGCGGCGUGCCUAAUACAUGCAAGUCGAGCGAACGGACGAGAAGCUUGCUUCUCUGAUGUUAGCGGCGGACGGGUGAGUAACACGUGGAUAACCUACCUAUAAGACUGGGAUAACUUCGGGAAACCGGAUCUAAUACCGGAUAAUAUUUUGAACCGCAUGGUUCAAAAGUGAAAUACGGUCUUGCUGUCACUUAUAGAUGGAUCCGCGCUGCAUUAGCUAGUUGGUAAGGUAACGGCUUACCAAGGCAACGAUGCAUAGCCGACCUGAGAGGGUGAUCGGCCACACUGGAACUGAGACACGGUCCAGACUCCUACGGGAGGCAGCAGUAGGGAAUCUUCCGCAAUGGGCGAAAGCCUGACGGAGCAACGCCGCGUGAGUGAUGAAGGUCUUCGGAUCGUAAAACUCUGUUAUUAGGGAAGAACAUAUGUGUAAGUAACUGUGCACAUCUUGACGGUACCUAAUAAGAAAGCCACGGCUAACUACGUG
RNAcentral lists this ribosomal RNA (497 nucleotides) under uncultured bacterium. Its description in RNAcentral is "partial 16S ribosomal RNA". It matches the Rfam family "Bacterial small subunit ribosomal RNA", at positions 28 to 507 of the family's 1533-position model. The record is from RNAcentral.